CGAAUCAAGUACAAAGGCAAG
This 21-nucleotide small nuclear RNA is filed under the name Arabidopsis thaliana (thale cress). RNAcentral describes it as "snRNA_14356". Lineage: Eukaryota; Viridiplantae; Streptophyta; Magnoliopsida; Brassicales; Brassicaceae. The record is from RNAcentral.